RNAcentral lists this ribosomal RNA (253 nucleotides) under uncultured bacterium. RNAcentral describes it as "partial 16S ribosomal RNA". It matches the Rfam family "Bacterial small subunit ribosomal RNA", at positions 524 to 776 of the family's 1533-position model. The record is from RNAcentral.
UACGUAGGGCGCAAGCGUUGUUCGGAUUUACUGGGCGUAAAGGGCGCGUAGGCGGCGUGACAAGUCACUUGUGAAAUCUCUGAGCUUAACUCAGAACGGCCAAGUGAUACUGUUGUGCUAGAGUGCAGAAGGGGCAAUCGGAAUUCUUGGUGUAGCGGUGAAAUGCGUAGAUAUCAAGAGGAACACCUGAGGUGAAGACGGGUUGCUGGGCUGACACUGACGCUGAGGCGCGAAAGCUAGGGUAGCAAACGGG